AUGGUUAGGGUUAGGGCGAGUCCCAGGUUAGGGUUAGAAUCCCAUACUAGGGUUAGGGUUAGGGUUAGAUUCCCAGGUUGGGGUUAGUGCUGGGGUUAGGGUUAGGGGUCAGCGCUAUGGUUAGGGUUAGGGUGAGCGCCAUGGUUAGGGUUAGGGCUAGAUGCCAGGCUGGGGUUAUCAUCAGCAGCCGCCCGGACUGCGAGUCGGCUGAUUUUUUGCAGGUCGGGACCCAGGAAACGCGGCGACAGUGGACGUGGCACUGGCUGGAUAGG
Molecule: non-coding RNA, 272 nt
Organism: Xyrichtys novacula (pearly razorfish)
Lineage: Eukaryota; Metazoa; Chordata; Actinopteri; Labriformes; Labridae
Source: the annotation of a GenBank genome assembly